Molecule: ribosomal RNA, 524 nt
Filed under: uncultured bacterium
Lineage: Bacteria
Description: bacterial SSU rRNA
Rfam family: Bacterial small subunit ribosomal RNA
Source: RNAcentral
CCUGACGCAGCAACGCCGCGUGGGGGAUGACGGCCUUCGGGUUGUAAACCUCUUUCAGUAGGGAAGAAGCGAAAGUGACGUUACCUGCAGAGGAAGCGCCGGCUAACUACGUGCCAGCAGCCGCGGUAAUACGUAGGGCGCAAGCGUUGUCCGGAAUUAUUGGGCGUAAAGAGCUUGUAGGUGGCUUGUCGCGUCUGCCGUGAAAACCCGAGGCUCAACCUCGGGCGUGCGGUGGGUACGGGCAGGCUAGAGUGUGGUAGGGGAGACUGGAACUCCUGGUGUAGCGGUGAUAUGCGCAGAUAUCAGGAAGAACACCGAUGGCGAAGGCAGGUCUCUGGGCCAUUACUGACACUGAGAAGCGAAAGCAUGGGGAGCGAACAGGAUUAGAUACCCUGGUAGUCCAUGCCGUAAACGUUGGGCACUAGGUGUGGGGAACAUUCCACGUUUUCCGCGCCGUAGCUAACGCAUUAAGUGCCCCGCCUGGGGAGUACGGCCGCAAGGCUAAAACUCAAAUGAAUUGACGG